Molecule: ribosomal RNA, 120 nt
Filed under: Pteropus alecto (black flying fox)
Lineage: Eukaryota; Metazoa; Chordata; Mammalia; Chiroptera; Pteropodidae
Also listed under: 1 other name
Source: RNAcentral
GUCUACGGCCAUGCCACCCUGAACAUGCAUGAUCUCGUCUGAUCUCGGAAGCUAAGCAGGAUCAAGCCAAGUUAGAACUUGGAUGGGAGACUGCCUAGGAAUACCAGGCACUUGUAAAUG